CCUACGGGAGGCAGCAGUGGGGGAUAUUGCACAAUGGGGGAAACCCUGAUGCAGCGACGCCGCGUGAGUGAAGAAGUAUUUCGGUAUGUAAAGCUCUAUCAGCAGGGAAGAAAAUGACAGUACCUGACCAAGAAGCCCCGUCUAACUACGUGCCAGCAGCCGCGGCACUGUGCAGGGGGCCAGCGUUAUCCGGAUUUACUGGGUGUAAAGGGAGCGUAGACGGUUAUGUAAGUCUGGAGUGAAAGCCCGGGGCCCAACCACGGGACUGCUUUGGCAACUGUGUAACUGGAGUACAGGAGGGGCAGGCGGAAUGCGUGGUGUAGCGGUGAAAUGCGUAGAUAUCACGAAGAACACCGGUGGCGAAGGCAGCCUGCUGGACUGAAACUGACGUUGAGGCUCGAAAGCGUGGGGAGCAAACAGGAUUAGAUACCCCAGUAGUC
Molecule: ribosomal RNA, 440 nt
Filed under: uncultured bacterium
Lineage: Bacteria
Description: partial 16S ribosomal RNA
Rfam family: Bacterial small subunit ribosomal RNA
Source: RNAcentral